Long non-coding RNA from Talpa occidentalis (Iberian mole), 88 nucleotides. RefSeq lists it as uncharacterized. The record is from RefSeq and is a predicted model, not a curated record. The transcript is spliced from 3 exons. Lineage: Eukaryota; Metazoa; Chordata; Mammalia; Eulipotyphla; Talpidae.
UUACCACUACAGCUUUCUCUAAGUUGGAGCCUGGAAAUCUCUCCACUAUAGAAACGUCAAGUGCACAGGUGACAGAAUUCAAUAUGAA